GCCGGAGUGGUGGAAUGGUAGACGCGCCGGACUCAAAAUCCGGUGGGGGCAACCCCGUGAGAGUUCGAGUCUCUCCUCCGGCA
Molecule: transfer RNA, 83 nt
Filed under: Chloracidobacterium thermophilum
Lineage: Bacteria; Pseudomonadati; Acidobacteriota; Blastocatellia; Chloracidobacteriales; Chloracidobacteriaceae
Also listed under: 14 other names
Description: tRNA-Leu
Rfam family: tRNA
About the family: Transfer RNA (tRNA) molecules are approximately 80 nucleotides in length. Their secondary structure includes four short double-helical elements and three loops (D, anti-codon, and T loops).
Source: RNAcentral